GACGAACGCUGGCGGCGUGCUUAACACAUGCAAGUCGAACGGAAAGGCCCUGCUUUUGUGGGGUGCUCGAGUGGCGAACGGGUGAGUAACACGUGAGUAACCUGCCCUUGACUUUGGGAUAACUUCAGGAAACUGGGGCUAAUACCGGAUAGGAGCUCCUGCUGCAUGGUGGGGGUUGGAAAGUUUCGGCGGUUGGGGAUGGACUCGCGGCUUAUCAGCUUGUUGGUGGGGUAGUGGCUUACCAAGGCUUUGACGGGUAGCCGGCCUGAGAGGGUGACCGGCCACAUUGGGACUGAGAUACGGCCCAGACUCCUACGGGAGGCAGCAGUGGGGAAUAUUGCACAAUGGGCGGAAGCCUAAUGCAGCAACGCCGCGUGCGGGAUGACGGCCUUCGGGUUGUAAACCGCUUUCGCCUGUGACGAAGCGUGAGUGACGGUAAUGGGGAAAGAAGCACCGGCUAACUACGU
RNAcentral lists this ribosomal RNA (467 nucleotides) under uncultured bacterium. RNAcentral describes it as "partial 16S ribosomal RNA". It matches the Rfam family "Bacterial small subunit ribosomal RNA", at positions 28 to 506 of the family's 1533-position model. The record is from RNAcentral.